RNAcentral lists this ribosomal RNA (492 nucleotides) under uncultured bacterium. RNAcentral's name for it is "partial 16S ribosomal RNA". It matches the Rfam family "Bacterial small subunit ribosomal RNA", at positions 29 to 507 of the family's 1533-position model. The record is from RNAcentral.
AGUGAACGCUGGCGGUAGGCCUAACACAUGCAAGUCGAACGGCAGCACAGUAAGAGCUUGCUCUUACGGGUGGCGAGUGGCGGACGGGUGAGGAAUACAUCGGAAUCUACUUUUUCGUGGGGGAUAACGUAGGGAAACUUACGCUAAUACCGCAUACGACCUACGGGUGAAAGCAGGGGAUCUUCGGACCUUGCGCGAGUGAAUGAGCCGAGGUCGGAUUAGCUAGUUGGCGGGGUAAAGGCCCACCAAGGCGACGAUCCGUAGCUGGUCUGAGAGGAUGAUCAGCCACACUGGAACUGAGACACGGUCCAGACUCCUACGGGAGGCAGCAGUGGGGAAUAUUGGACAAAGGGCGCAAGCCUGAUCCAGCCAUACCGCGUGGGUGAAGAAGGCCUUCGGGUUGUAAAGCCCUUUUGUUGGGAAAGAAAAGCAGCAGGUUAAUACCCCGCUGUUCUGACGGUACCCAAAGAAUAAGCACCGGCUAACUUCGUG